GAUUUCAGGGGAAGAAUGGAGGAAAAAACGGCAUAAAAUCCCAUGGGAAGGACCCCCAUCUGUGCAGGCUCCGCGUGCUGUCCAUAAGUGCGCGCACAUGGCCAGCACAGGAUGUGCGCCUAUGUCCACAUCCCAUCCUCGUGGGGUGCGAGGCAUGGUCUACCCGUAGGGUGUGAGGUGCGGUCUACGCACGUGUCCCGUCACACGUAAACAGAGGCGCAACUCCGUGUGCCAUGUGUGCGCGUUGUCCGUCUGAUAGGCCUCCGCACAGUAGGCCUGCAUGCAAUAGGCCCGUUCGAAAUGCCCUGCACACAGUAGGUUUACGC
RNAcentral lists this long non-coding RNA (326 nucleotides) under Carica papaya (papaya). RNAcentral describes it as "long non-coding RNA (CPAP_LNC005401)". The record is from RNAcentral. Lineage: Eukaryota; Viridiplantae; Streptophyta; Magnoliopsida; Brassicales; Caricaceae.